Molecule: ribosomal RNA, 478 nt
Filed under: Pseudomonas sp. SG-MS2
Lineage: Bacteria; Pseudomonadati; Pseudomonadota; Gammaproteobacteria; Pseudomonadales; Pseudomonadaceae
Description: partial 23S ribosomal RNA
Rfam family: Bacterial large subunit ribosomal RNA
Source: RNAcentral
GGGGAUAACAGGCUGAUACCGCCCAAGAGUUCAUAUCGACGGCGGUGUUUGGCACCUCGAUGUCGGCUCAUCACAUCCUGGGGCUGAAGCCGGUCCCAAGGGUAUGGCUGUUCGCCAUUUAAAGUGGUACGCGAGCUGGGUUUAGAACGUCGUGAGACAGUUCGGUCCCUAUCUGCCGUGGACGUUUGAGAUUUGAGAGGGGCUGCUCCUAGUACGAGAGGACCGGAGUGGACGAACCUCUGGUGUUCCGGUUGUCACGCCAGUGGCAUUGCCGGGUAGCUAUGUUCGGAAGAGAUAACCGCUGAAAGCAUCUAAGCGGGAAACUUGCCUCAAGAUGAGAUCUCACUGGGAUCUUGAAUCCCCUAAAGGGCCGUCGAAGACUACGACGUUGAUAGGUUGGGUGUGUAAGCGCUGUGAGGCGUUGAGCUAACCAAUACUAAUUGCCCGUGAGGCUUGACCAUAUAACACCCAAGCAAUU